RNAcentral lists this ribosomal RNA (313 nucleotides) under uncultured bacterium. Its description in RNAcentral is "bacterial SSU rRNA". It matches the Rfam family "Bacterial small subunit ribosomal RNA", at positions 28 to 334 of the family's 1533-position model. The record is from RNAcentral.
GACGAACGCUGGCGGCGCGCCUAACACAUGCAAGUCGAGGGGCAGCAUGUCGGUUGCUUGCAACCGACGAUGGCGACCGGCGCACGGGUGAGUAACGCGUAUCCAACCUACCCUUGUCCAUCGGAUAACCCGUCGAAAGGCGGCCUAACACGAUAUGCGGUUCUCAGCAGGCAUCUAACGAGAACGAAAUGUGAAGGAGAAGGAUGGGGAUGCGUCUGAUUAGCUUGUUGGCGGGGUAACGGCCCACCAAGGCGACGAUCAGUAGGGGUUCUGAGAGGAAGGUCCCCCACAUUGGAACUGAGACACGGUCCAA